UACACAAUUUUGUUCUGAAUUUCAGGGGGUUGAGAUCGGAUUGAUCUUACAAACACACGAAGCUAGACCUACAUAUAAUGGAAGGAAGCAUUGUUCAGGCCACAAGCACAAAUGGUGGCCGCCUACCUCGUCAUCUACCUCGGCGUAGCUUUCACGUCGCUGCUCAUCGUGCUUUCGGGCCGCAGGCGCUGGGCGGCGCGGGGUGAUGGUUGCCACGACCUGCGCCUCCCGCCUGGGCCGUGGCAGCUGCCGGUGAUCGGCAGCCUGCACCACCUCGUCCUGGCCGGGCAGCUCCCUCACCGCGCGAUGCGCGACCUGGCGCGGCGCCACGGGCCGGCCGUGCUGCUCAGGCUCGGCGAGGUUCCCACGGUGGUGGUGUCCUCCCGGGAGGGGGCGCGCGAGGUGCUGAAGACCCACGACAAGGCGUUCGCGACGCGGCCCGUGAGCGCCACCAUGCGCGUGCUCACCAGCGGCGGCCGGGACAUCGUCUUCGCGCCCUACGGGGACUACUGGCGCCAGCUCCGGAAGAUCGCCGUCGUGGAGCUCUUCACCGCGCGCCGCGUCCGCUCCUUCCGCGCCAUCCGCGAGGAGGAGGUCGCCGCAGCGCUCCGCGGCGUCGCCGAGGCCGCGCGCCCCGUGGAGAUGCGCGCGCUGCUGGCCGCGCGCGUGGCGGACAGCACGGUGCGCGCCGUGAUUGGCGACCGGUGCAGGGAGCGCGACGCACUCCUCCGGGAGCUCGACCGCUCCAUGCAGCUCGCGGCGGGGUUCAACCCGGCCGACCUGUGGCCUUCGUGGCGGCUCGCGGCGCGGCUCAGUGGCGCCAAGGAGUGCCACGACACCGUGCACGGCAUCCUGGACGGCAUCAUCAAGGAGCACCUGGAGAGGAUGGAUGGCGGCGAGGACCUGCUUGACGUGCUGCUGAGAAUCCAGAAGGAGGGUGCGCUCCAGUUUCCGCUCGACAUGGACGCCAUCAAAUCCGUCAUCAUGGGACGUGUGUCCUCGUGGUGGACAUAUAUAUCUACAAAAAUGAAAAACGAUCCACACGCGACGCAUCCUCGUGGUGGACAUGUGUCCUCGGGCUCCGUCGUUGCGACGGCGUUUGCUGCCGAGUCAGCGCGGAGCUUGAGAAGUAGUCCAGGAGCGGAUGCAGAUUAUGGUCUACAUCGACGAUAUCUGGAAGACGGAGCAUGUUCUGGGCUCGUGGUUCGUGGAUGAUAGAUAUGGUUUCCUCCUUCGGUGUUUUAGUCGUGGUGGGGUGCCAGAUCUGGAGUUCGAUGGCGUGUCCGGUGUUUUGCCCCGGUCUGACUCGUUCAACGGCAAGGGCUUCACUUUUGGUGAGCCACCUUGGAGGUCCGCAAAGCUGCUUAUCAGCGAUGGGGCCGUGUCGAGCUCGGAUGGGGAGGUGAUUCGUCAUUCUUUUCUUCGGUUGCUGCUGUGGUGGUGCCGGAGGCAGGUGACGGGCGUUGGCAUCAAGCUCAGAGAUGUUCUGCUAUCUUUUCAGUUUUGUCAUAUCGAUCUUUACGUGACUUGUAUUUUGUUCUUUAUAAUAUAAAUAAGACACGUAUUACCAUGAAAAAAACCACACUGUCUAGCGAUAAAAAAUACCAAAUGUGGUACAGAGCCGGACCAAAGAGUAUCAAAAUCAAACAGACUUGGUGAAAAUAGAGAAAGAAACAUUUGGGGAAAUAAAUUAAAGAUGCGCUGCUACGCGUCCGCCGGCCGAUGGACUAAAAUUAUCCGCCGCCUGAACAGCCGUUGGAUCCCUGAGCUGUUAGUCGUCUGAUCUAGUGUGUGUGUCCUGCAUGCCCCCCUCCCCCUCAUUAUUGCCGCAACUUACGCGUUGUUGCAGAAACAAGACAACAAACUUGUCCGUGGACCCGAUAGAGUUGCGCCCAGCGUACCACCGCCGCCAACCUGCCGCCAAAAUCAGCCCGCCACCAGCGUGCAGGAGCUAAGUUGAACUCUCUGCAACACCGUUGCGCAUCAUAUCACGCGUCAGAUGCUUGGAUCAGACGCAAAAUCAAGCUCACCGAGGGGCCCUGCCUGGAGAAUAGGCGCGGCCUCUACUCCAGCAUGACGGCGAUGAGCUCCCACGCCGGGCACUCCUUUGACAAUUUCUACAACUGAAGCUAUGUUUCUGAGACAUGCGUCGUGUGGCAAUGCUUGGCCUUGUAUGCUCUAACAUCAUGCGUUCCUCCAACGCUUUCUGCAACCGGGGCUAUGUUUCUGAAGCAAGACCCAUGUUGCGGAAGAAAAAUAUCUUCGCUACCGAACCAUUUUUUUUUUUGAAACAAGACCUCUGUUGCAAAAACUUUCUAAAACUAGACCCUGUUGCUAAAAAAAAUUCACCACCAGAUCGUGUUUAUUUUUGAAACAAGAUCUCUGUUGAAAAAAAUUGGCUGCAGCGGACUUGUGACCAGCGUGGGCGCUCGAUCAAGACUGAUCCGGUGGCUACGCAGGUGGCGGACGCUGCGCAUGCAUCCGUCAGCUCAAGGAUAGCUUUUUCCUAAAUUAAACUCGUGCAACGGAACAAUUCAGUAGUUUUGCAAAAAAAAGAAACAAUUUUGUACACUAGUAAAUUAAAUCCAUAGAACAGAACAGUUAAGAAAAUCCGGGUUUGCAACGACUUGUACUUGGCGUCAAAUUCGCCAACCUUUCCCCCGAUCGAGAGACAGCGCUGGCCACCGACGCGAGGCUUUUCUCCUCUUCCUUCUUCUGGUGAUUAGGGUUUGUCUCUGCCGGCCGCCGGCGCGCUCCCAGAGAGCCUCUCGGUUCCGCCGCCGCCACCGCUCAUCCAAGGACCACUGGCCCGCUCCCAGAGAGCCUUUCCGCUCCGCCGACGCCACCCCUCACCCCAAGGACCACCGGCUACCUCGCUCCAGAUUCUAUGGCCUGAUUGCGGGACGAGCAGCGCGAGGUGCUGCGCGCGCAGGAGGAGGUCAAGCGGAUUCAGUCCGUGCCGCUCGUCAUCGGCCAGUUCCUCGAGAUGGUCGACGGCAGCAACGGCAUCGUCGGCUCCACCA
Molecule: RNA transcript, 3023 nt
Organism: Triticum aestivum (bread wheat)
Lineage: Eukaryota; Viridiplantae; Streptophyta; Magnoliopsida; Poales; Poaceae
Gene name: desmethyl-deoxy-podophyllotoxin synthase-like
Exons: 3
Source: RefSeq, a predicted model, not a curated record